This 249-nucleotide ribosomal RNA is filed under the name uncultured bacterium. RNAcentral's name for it is "partial 16S ribosomal RNA". It matches the Rfam family "Bacterial small subunit ribosomal RNA", at positions 338 to 603 of the family's 1533-position model. The record is from RNAcentral.
CCUACGGGACGCAGCAGUGGGGGAUAUUGCACAAUGGGGGGAACCCUGAUGCAGCGACGCCGCGUGGGUGAAGGAGUGCUUCGGCAUGUAAAGCCCUCUCGGCAGGGAAGAAGCAAUACGGUACCUUACUAAGAAGCCCCGGCUAACUCCGUGCCAGCAGCCGCGGUUAUACGUUGGGGGCGAGCGUUAUCCGGAUUCACUGGGCGUAAAGGGAGCGUAGUCGGCCAUGCAAGCCCGGGGUGAAACCCC